CAAAAUUAGUCUAAGAUGAGAUAUACUGUCUUUCCAUGCAGGAUGAUAAGAUAUCUUGUCUUAGAUUGUUUAUUGCGCACAUCGGGGGAUCGUGAAGAUUUUAUUGGUGAGUAAGUAUACUCGGAAGGGCAAUGAUGAAUAUUAAAUAAUCGGACAUAGUACGAUAAGGUUGUAUGUCUAAAGGGAAACAGCCCAGAACAAGAGUUAAGGUUCCUAAAUUAAUGUUAAGUGAAAUUAAGGUAGUUUCUAUUAAAUACGACUAGAAAGUAGGCUUAGAAGCGGCCAUUUUUUGAAGACCUCGUAACAGAGCACUGGUUUAGUAAGUAGUUCACUAUUUACAUUGAUAGAAGCACCGAAAAUAUAUCGGAUCUAAACAAUAUACCGACACCUUGUUCAUAUUUAUAAAUAAAAAAAAAAAAAUAAAGCUGAUAAGGCAUGCUGAUCUUCUAUAAAAAUUUUAAGGGGAAAAUCCUUUUUUUCGUCGGCUGCACAGCGCGCAGCUAGCUAGCUAAUAUUAUUAGUUUUUAUUAUAAAUAAGAGGUAGCAGAACGUUAGGUAGAUCUCACGAUUUAAUCUUUUCAAGAUUAAAAAAGAUAGAAUAUCCUAAGUGAUAAUGCUGACAUGAGUAACGAUAAAGGGGCUGCUUUCGAA
Molecule: ribosomal RNA, 651 nt
Filed under: Cyclaneusma minus
Lineage: Eukaryota; Fungi; Ascomycota; Leotiomycetes; Marthamycetales; Marthamycetaceae
Description: partial large subunit ribosomal RNA
Rfam family: Bacterial large subunit ribosomal RNA
Source: RNAcentral